Molecule: long non-coding RNA, 16939 nt
Filed under: Lactuca sativa (garden lettuce)
Lineage: Eukaryota; Viridiplantae; Streptophyta; Magnoliopsida; Asterales; Asteraceae
Description: long non-coding RNA (LSAT_LNC000372)
Source: RNAcentral
CAGCGUUACCAGCAUUGAUGCCGGAAUUAGCUGAGUAAGCACUCUUUAAACAGCCACAAGCAGUCUGACGAUCAGGGGUUGAUUGUGCAGCGUUAUUGAGUGCGGUAACCCCACUGCAACAUCCCGAUGGCACAGCACCACCAUUUUUUAGGUAGCCAAGGCAUGGAGCUAAGUUGCUUACCACCUGACCACAAGUAAUAGCCUCUGCAUAGGGUGCAGCCACCACCAUGCAAGUGACUACUACACAAAAGACCAUCAUUGCCAUCCUUGCCAUUUUUCAAGUAUACGAGCACUAAAGCUGUAGGAAACUUAUAUGUUUGCUAGUUAUGUUAUUCAAAAUGUGUUUGGUGCAACAAACGUUGUCACUGGUUAGGGUAUUUAUAAUUAAAGAUUCUUCUUCUGUCUAUACAAAUGUGUGUGUGUGUGUGAAUGGAUAGGUUAGCUGGAAGUUGGAUUUGAUAUUAAUGGAACCUUAAUGUACACCUUUGAUGUAUAAUCUUCACCGAUUAACUGUAAACAUUUCAUUUAACUUCAUAAAAACGACGGAAUUCGGUUUUAAAUAUAUGGCGAACAAUGUAUCACUGUGAAUGCCGACCAUAUAUAUGCGGCCGUGUGGACUUUAUUAUCUUCAAUUAUCAAUAAAUGCAUUUUGUUUUUUCUCGAGACACGAUGUACACCAACAUUACUCACUUGCAUAUCUGGCAGUCGGUAGGCAUAUAUAAUUGAAAGAGUAAAUAAAUGAAAGUAAUAAAAUAUAUUAGUAAAUUAAAGAAGAUGACUAAAGAGUUUACCCAAAAUGAUUUUGUUUUUCUGUAGCAAAAGAUAUUGUUUUUAUAUCUUGAUAUUUAGUAUAAUCAACAUAUUUAAGUUUUUAAUACAUAUUACAAUGUUUUUAGUAGAUACAUAAGGUUUAAAACAACACUGGGUUUGUGGUUUCGCCGAUUUUAUGAGAUAACUUUGUAAUGCUCCCCUCAAUUUUUUUAAUCUGCAUCUGUGAGCUCAUUUUGUCGGAAAUGUUUCCGAAACAUUGUCACCAAUUAGUGUCAUGCUUAGUUUUUAGUCACAAAUGCCUCAUAAUUACUCAUAAUUAUAUGAAAAUGAGUUGUGUGUGAAGUCAGUUGGUACUUCGAACAACAUAUAUUCAACAUAUAUUUGUCCGAAAAUUGUCCCUCGGAAAAUGCUCGCAAAAGGUUUCCUAUGUCUGGUUUACCUACACAUUUCUGAUAGUACCGACUAAAAGAUCUAAUUUUUUUUUAAUUAUGUACUGUAUAAUAAAUCACAUGAAAAACUUUUAUAAUUUUUUCCUAGGACAAACAAAACAAAAUAUUUUUUAUAAGUAGAAACACGUUUAACUGAUAGAGUUGUAGAAAUAUAUAGCAAAAAAAAAAAGAUCUAAAAGUGUUUUUCUAUAGGCAGAAACAGGAUCAACAAAUUUUGAACUUGUAGAAAAUUUAUUGUGAAAUAAUAAAACUGCAUGAGGAAUCAAGUAUUAAAAGUAAUUAUAAGGUCUAAGUGUUGACAAGGGAUAGACUUAAUACUCUCUUUUUUUAUUAUUUUAUUAUAUUUACUAGCCAAGUGUUAUCAUUCUUUUUGGAUGGAGAAAUAAUUUUAUAAAGAUAAAAGCUAAUGAAAAAAAAAGAUCAAAUGCAAAGAAGUUAAGAAACAACAAAAUAUAAGCUAUAAGUGUGGCCGGUCCAAGGGAUGUUUAGAAUGUGCUUGUGACUAGGGCCUACCCAAAUAUUAGGCCCAACUUUUUCCCCAAUUUUAUAAAAGGUUAUGAUCACUUUUUUGCCCAAAUAGGUUAACAUGCGAGAAAGGAAACGACGUAAGUGGCAGCGAGAAUCAUAAAUAUUUUGGGAAAAGGCAACGACACUUUGGUUCUCGCUAAUAGUGAUUAACUGAUUCGGAUUUAGGCAUUGGAACCAAUUAAUAAUCGCGAUUGAGGCUUCGAGGUCACUAUUUCCCAUGGAAUUCACUCAAUCAGAAGCUAAGUCUUAAAUUUGUACUUCUAUAACAUCCUGACGAUGAAGUAUUUCCAAAUUAAGCCCUAAGUAUGAAGAUUUAUUGUAUUUAGCCCUUGUGUAUGAGAAAUGUUGCAAGAUGGUCUACAAUGGCAUUUUGGAAAUAUUUGGGCUGAGGUCAUGUACGGUGGGCAUACCAAGCGUAUGCAGGGCAUCCAUGCAUGAUCCCCAAACAUUAAUUUUUAGGGUUUGGAUCCUAUUUGAACAUCAUUAAGUCCGCAACCGGCCUUCUUUCAUUAGCCACCAGCUUACCUACGUCCCAAAACAAACCCUAAUCCACUUUUGAGCACUCUCAAGCUUUGUGUGUGUGUGAGUGUGUUUUGGUUACCUUGAAGGAGAGAGGAAGAAGAGAAGAUCAUCUUGGAGAAGUAGCACUUUUUGAAUCCAAAAUCCCAUCACAAUUUGGCAUCAUUUGGUGGUAAAAAGCUUUGAACUUGAUGAAACUAUGCAUAGAUCUAAGUUAGCCAUGAAGUUUGUGUCAUUUUGGUCCAUUAGUUUGAUAUUUUCACUAUGGGCUACUCCAGUCCAUUUAAGUUGCUAUUUCAGAAGUUUUGAGGUGUCUAGAAGCAUAAAAACAUGUUCUUGAUCAUUUCUUACCUUCCAUGCAUGAGUUACAAGGUAUUAAUAGGUUAAGUACUAAAGGUUUUUAGUGCUAAGCACUUAUUGGGCAUGUAAGACCAUAAAGUUGGACACUAUAUGGUUAAAGACGACAUUUAGAGCAUGGACCUGAUUUUGGACAAAGGGACUUGAUGUAUUAAGCUUUUAAUAAUAGAUGGGGCUGACUGUGUACGUACGCUACACGUACCAAAUUAGUACGUUGUGCGUACACCGUCCUGGGCCAAGAAGAGUACACCCAACAUACAGAUGAGUACGUCAAACACACUCGACAGGGUUGACUCGGCUAGUUUUUUUACUUUGAACUUAAACCUUUGACCAUGUUUGACCUAAGGGUAUUUUAGAUAAUUUGAGUGGUAUUUGAGAUCGGCCAUUAUUUAGUGUUUAGGUGACCAGUUGAAUUGUCAUUUGGAGCUGUGUUCUGUUAGAUAUCUUUUCAGACUGAGAUGUGAGUUUUCCUUAGUGUAGUCGUGGGUCAAGUCAUCAAUGUCAGCCCAAUAGAUUAUUUUAUCCUAGUCAUAGGAUAGUGUUAUGCUAAUAUGUCAUUCAGUCGUAGAUCUGUAUGGUUAUUUGUAUUUGUUGGUUAUGUGUUAUGUUUGUUUGUUACAUAUGUCGACAUAUUUUGGUUAGGUUGAGGGAGUUAUGCUUUAUGUAGAAGGCCAAGACACCUGGGGCGGUCCAGAUAUACUGUAGGCCCUACGAGGCGUUCCAGUUAGGCCGAAGGCCUGUAGUGCAGUCUAGAUGCAAGGCAACCCAGUCUUGUUGAAGGCUCAUAUUUACAUGCUUCGUUUGAGAUGUAGUGUGUUGGUACUUUGGGGGAACACACUAAGCAUGGAAGACCCCGGGUGAGCCCGUGGCAGUUGGAAAUAACACCAUGUGGGGGAGCCCAUGGCAUUCCCGGGUAAAGACCAUGUGGUGUAGUCCAUGACACGGUGCUAUAACACGCUAGGGGAGCCCACAACAUCCAUAUAUAUUUAUGUAUGUCUUAGGUAGUAUAAUAGAUACUUCUGUGAUAUAUGAUAUGCUAGUUGAUUAUGUGGUUAUUGCAUGGAUGACCCUAGGGGGAGCUCGUGGCAGUUGGAAAUAAGACCAUGUGGGGAAGCCCAUGACAUUCCUAGGUAAAGACCAUGGGGGGAGCUAAUGACACAUAAUUGUAAGACCAUGUGGGAGAGCCCAUGACAUCCUGGAGUAGGACCCUGGGGGAGCCCACAACAUCCUUAUAUGUUUAUAUGCAUUGUUUAUGUGAUAUGUAGUAUAUUAGUUGUUUAUGUGGGAUGUGGUAUACUAGUUGUUUAUGUGAUGUGUGAUAUGCUAGUUGUCUUUGUGAUACUUGCAUGGAAGACCCCGGGGGGAGUCUGUGGCAGUGGAUAUAAGACCAUAUGGGGAGCCCAUGGCAAUCCCAGGUAAAGACCAUGGGGGAACCCGUGGAAUGAAGGUAUAAGACCCUUUGGGGGGGGGGGGGGGAGCCCACGGCAUCCUUAUAUGUUCAUAUGUAUGGAUUAUGUGAUUGAUAUGGAUUAUGUGUUGUUAUAGCUGAUACAUAUUAAGUAAUUAUGUGGAUUGUGUGGGUAUGCUCUAGGGAACUCACUAAGCUUCAUGCUUACAAUUUUGUUUAUGGUUUCAGGUAUCAUUGUUUGGAAAGGAAGGGCUCAGUUUGAUCAAAGUGUACACACAUGUGCUUCCGCAAUAUAUGAUUUUGGGACGAACUUUGAUGAAUGUUUUUAAUUAAUCAUGUUUUUGGAAUGUUUGGAUUUAAAGACAUAUAUAUUUUGACAAUAUUGAAAAAUGAAAUUUUUAUGCUUAAUUUUUGGGUCGUUACAAGUUGGUAUCAGAGCCUUGGUCUGAGGGAUUUAGACAUACUUUCGGGUGUGUCUGAACUCAAACUGAGGAUUUGUUGAGUUUUCAAAAGGAAAAUGUUUUAAGUAAAGAAUUUCUAAGAUAAGAAAGGGUAUGGUGCAUGCAAUCAGCCGAGCACAAGUAAGUUUCCCAGAAUACCCACAUGUGUUGUCUGUUAUGACUUGGUUUAUGAAUAUGUGAAUCUCAUGCUAGUUAGGGUUAGGGGAGAUGUAUGUAUAUUUUGUAUGAGCUGAUAGACUUGCAUGCUAGUGCUGAGUAGUCAACAAUAGGUUGGCCUGAUAUGUGGUGCUUGUAGCCUUGGGAAUAUUUGAUGUCAUGCUAGAAUGAGAAUGCUUAUUGGUAUUAGUAACUGCUAUGUGUAUGCUUUUAAAAUUGUAUACGGCUAGGAUCUUAUAGCCUUAGAGUAAUUGAUUUGGCCUUAUUUCCUGUUCCUCGUCUGGUUGUGGUCCUAUGGUAGAGUCUAUUAUACGACGGUCUAUUAGAUCCUGUUUUGUGUACAAUUUGCAUGCAUAAGGUAGCCGACAGUAAGGAUGGAUGGAUAUGGACAGCAUGAGUUGUGAUAUGUGGGUUGAAUGUUCGAUGAUAUUUCUUUGGAUCGGGGUGCUACUACACGAAUGUUGCUUGCUUGGUGCUUUGUGGAACUCUUUAGUGAUGGGAGUCAACUACUAAGUGGAUAUGAAAAUAUCCAGGAGGUAGAUGGCCGACAUCAUGGGGAGUUUUUCAGCAGCUGAUGGCAGGGCAAGGUUGGGAACCUAGGAAAGCCUAGAAUAUGCUCUAGUGAGUUAGUGGGGCGGUUCAGUGAGGUUGGAAACCUAAGGGGGCCUAGGAGGUGCUUCGGUGGAUAUUUUAUUGUUGCUUAGCAAACAUUUAGUACAUCAUGGGAGUAGGUGACUUAGAGGAUUCAGGAUGAUCCUGGAGGAAAGUAUGGAUAAGUGUGGAAGGUAGUAUUGGGCCUGUACUACUUAAAGCACUGGAUCCAUACUCAAAUCAGGGAAAGUCUAGGAGAAUCUAAGAAUCAUGGGAAGGAGAAUUAAUUGUUACGAUUAGACUGUGAGGAUAGCUGUUGUGUGGAAUGCGAAUGAGCACGCAAGGGGAAGGACCAAGGUUUGGUCCCAGCUUCGGUGGAGAGCCAAUUAGCAGAAGGACUUCCAGGAUUUUGAAUUCGCCUUGGAUCUCUAGUAUCAGGAGGCAAGGAUUGAUUGUGCGAUCUACUACACUUUGGAGAUGAGAGAUUAGGUCUUGGGGGUACUUUGUAGCCCAACUUAGGGCAGAGGUUGCUUCAACUACUGUAGUUCCAUCGUGGACGAUUGAGCUGGUGAGUGUGCCAGGCUACGAGACCCUGAGUGAUAUGAUUUCUAGAGCUCGAGAGCAGGGAUUGAUUUGGAACAUGUUGGGAAGAGGGGAUUCAGUGUAGUUCUUGCGGGAAAAUGCACAAGCGAGUUUUUCAUUUCAAGGGUUUUAGUAGGCGUAUCUAUGGGUUUGCUUCAUUGUUUGUGUUUGGAAUAUGCCUUCAAACAUUGUCGUAUACUAUUUGCAUAUCAUGAGUUACAAAAUGGUUAGAAAAGGCAGUUUUCCUCUUUGAUGGAUUGGAGCAUCAAACGGUAUCUGGGUUUAUGGUUGAGAUCGAUUCAGACACGUGAUGCGGAAGGUCUAAGGUCAGGAUUGCUGAAUCAACCAUUAUGCUUGGGCCGACUUUUAGAAGAGCCAGGGGAAGUGGUUUACUGUUGAGGCUUUGUUCUAGGCAUCGGUUAUUUGGACUUCAAGAUAUAGGUGGGGCAUCAUUUCAAGAUGUCUGAGAUUAUUAGUCUCACUGGGAUUCGGGAAGUGUUUGUCUGAUCUUUAGGAGUAGCGUGGUCCUUGGGGAUUUGGGCCAGUAAUAGAACACUCAUACAGACAAGAAGCAAGUUGUCAACAGUUGGUUAUUAAAGAGUAAGAAGGAUCGAGAAUCCUUCAAAUCUCAUGUAUUAUGAAGAUUUACUCGAAUCUAAGUGGGGGAGAAUCGCGCAGGUAUUCAGGACAGGGACAUGUAUGAGACUGGGAUGGGUUUCUCAUCCUCAUCGAGGAAAAUGGCGGCCCAAGUGGCUAUUUGGUUUGUAGGUUGUGCCAGUUUAAAGUCCAGUAAGACUCCCCGUCAUGUGAAUUGCGUCUUCUUAGGGCCUUGAUAAAAAAAAUUUGGGUAGACAGGUUGGGGCUCCAGACAGGAAUGGAGUUCAGUUCGGGUGUUCGGUGGAGUGCAUGCUCGACUGUGCAUGCAUUUCGAAUAAAUAGAUUAUGGGUAAGGUAUUCGGCUACGAUUGUGUUAGGAUGAGGGUGUUGUAAGACUACGGAGGAGCCGUAGCAUUCACUAAUGGUCAGUUGGUAUGAAAGUGUUGUCAGACUACGGGGGAGCCAUAGCAUUCAGUAAUGGUCAAAUGGUAUGGAAGUGUUGUAAGACUACCGAGGAGCCGUAGCAUUCACUAAUGGUUGGUUAUGAUGAAAGUGUUUUAAGACUAUGGGGGAGCCGUAGCAUUCACUCAUGGUCAGUAGGGUGAAAGUGUUGUAAGACUACGGGGGAGCCGUAGAAUUCACUAAUCUUUAGUUAUGAUGAAAGUGUUGUAAGACUACGGAGGAGCCGUAUCAUUCACUCAUGGUUAGUAGGGUGAAACUGUUGUAAGACUACGAGGGAACCGUAGCAUUCACUACUAACCAGAUAGUGUGGAAAGUGUUGUGAGACUACGAGGAGCUGUAGUAUUCACAACAACCAAAUAGUGUGGGAGAUAAAGACAUAUUGUAGGGUAGCUGUGAUAUUCAUGGAUUCGUUCGGAUGGCUUAGGCCAGUGUGGGCCAGUUCACAAGGUGGUGAGAAGGUCACAAUAUAAUUAGAAUCAGGGAAUGGUAGGUCGAAGGAGACCGCUUGUGAUGUAAGACUACAAUUAUUCUGGUAGCAUUCACCUUUUUGCGUUGGAUUCAGUGGCGACAGGUUGUCAGCCUAUCAAGAUCCGAUGGAUCGAAUGGAUUGAAGGAGCCAUGAGUGGUUGUAAAGAUAGUGUAGUUAUAGUUAGACAAUGUAUCCUUCGGAGGUCGCACGGGACUGCUACGUGUGUUUUUGACCCAACAAUCAGUUAGGUGUCUGAUAUUCUGAGUAGUUGACAAAUAAAGUGAGAUUAGAGAGGUCUCGGCGACAUUCAAAAAGCAGCAAGUGGUAGCCAGAAGAGUCAAAAUGGGUUCAGUGAUUUGGGAUCCGUGUGUAGGGUUGCCUGUCAUUCGGGGCGUAUACUAAGUUGGUUACUGUUGGACUAAAUAAUGUCAUAAGUUGAAUAGCCAUUUGGGAGACCAGUACAAUGCACUCGACAAUGAUUUGAUGCGGGCGAUCGAUCAAGGAGGCAGACCAUCUCAAGACUAUAGAUCUCAGACGGAGUACAAGCGAUCAUGUUGCAAGGAAUUCAUUCAUAUUCGGGUUUCAAAACCCUUUGGGGUCGGUUUUGGUUCCCUUAGAGAGGCUAUGGUAUGCUUGUGGUUGUGACUAUGUCGUCCAAGUUGUCGGCAGGUAAAGAAUUAUUUCGAGGACGAAAUCUAAUUUAAGUGGGGGAGAGUUGUAACAUUUAGUUUAUUUAAUAAAUAAAUAGAUAUGUAAGGAUUUAUGGAGGUAGGGGCUGAUUAGUAACAUUUUGGACUUGAUUUGGAAUGGUUUUCGGAAGUUGAGGUUAAAAGGGUAACUUGUGAACUUGUUUUGAAAAAGAAGGGAGACUGAGGGGCCAUUCAUGCCAAUAUAGCAACAAGUUGUAGGACAUGGUUAUAUAAACCCUCCAAACAAACCGUAACCCUAGAGGCUGUUACAACCACUACCCUCUUUAGUCUCUGGCGCCGCACCGCCCGCUCCCUCUUGUUCUCCAGCAAACGAAGAGCCGAACGACCGCUUGCUGCUGCCUCACUUCGCGAUGCCACUACAACCCGUUUCACCUUGUUGUUGUCGCUACUGUCAUUUCCAAUAAGAAGAGAAGUCGGGAAUAGGAGUAUCACCGUCCCACUUUUGCAUUGUCGCAGCUACUAUGCCAUCAAAACGCCUUAGCCGCUGCCGGUGACAUUGUGAGUGCCGCUGCCGUCGCUCCCAGUCACAUCUCUUCUCCGUUCCAGUGGUGCUACACCUAGCUAUUCCCGACGCCACCCUAAGCCUUGAGUGACCACCUUCUGUGGUAUUUCCGGUUGUCACUUGCCACCAAUGUGGCUGAGUUCGUAGUUUGCAACGGGAGGGUAUGCUGUUGUAUUGUGCUAAUCUUCGUGGGGUGUAUUUAUGUACGGGUAUGUGUUGUGUGUGGGGUUUAUUUGGCCGAAAAAGCCACCACCACCACCGUGAGGUGGUGGCUGCCACCAUAUGCCACUUUCGUGUAACAUCCCAAAAAUACGAGCCAAACUUUUUUUUUGUUUUAAUAAUAAUAAAAAUCAUAUACUGAACAACAUAUCACAAAACCAUACGUCAAAUAUCUCAAAUCAUAAUAAAAUGUCGUGAAACAACUGUAUCAAGUCAAACUAAGAAUCAAAACAUACUCCCAGGACAAAUACUGAAGUUGUGGUGUGUGCGAUGCCAUCCACCCGAGCUCUUCCCUUUGCUUGCGGAAGUACCUGAAACCAAAGCUGAAACUGUAAGCACGAAGCUUAGUGAGCUCCCCCAAACUACCACAUACCAUACAAUAACAUGUAAACACAUACUGGGCCUUGCCCACUUCAUCGUACCGAAGUCCGAAAACUGCAUCGGACCGAAGUCCAGAAUUAACCAGGGCCUUGCCCUCUGUAUUGGAUCGGAGUCUGGAAACUACAUCGGACCAAAGUCAGGAACUGACUGGGACCUUGUCCGCUACAUCGGACCGAAGUCCGGAACUAACUGCAUCGGACCGAAAUCCGGAGCUGAUUGGGACCUUGUCGCCUGCAUCGGACCGAAGUCCGGAUACUGACUGAGCAUAACAUAGCAUAGCAUAAACAUAUCAACUAGCAUGAACACAUAAACUGUAUACUGCAUCGAGCCAUAGCCCGGAACACAUAACACAUAAAUCCUGUCUGAGCCACGAAGGCAUUAAACAUACUAACUAUUGCAUCAUACCGAAUUCUGGAAACUACUGCUAGCUAAACGGGCCGACAUUGUGGCCUUAGACCCGUUCCUACUAGAAGGAAACUCACCUCGUGAUGUUGACUGCUGAACUCCUGAAUGAGAAAUCCCCGACUGUUGCUCCGAUUGCUUCCCAACUAUCAUGGGGAGUAAAAUACUAAAUGAGAAUAGGGAUUCUCCUAUGGGUAAAAUGACCAUUUUACCCAUGUUAUGGCAUGGGUCACAACAUGGCCCAAAACCCUCAAUUCCUUCUAAGCCCAUCCAUGGCCCCACUAAAAGCCCACUAAUGGCCCAAUUUUCUCCAUUGGGCCCAAAGCCCUUUAUUGGGCCUUACCCAAGCCCAAUAGUAAGCUUUGGCCCAUAAUACAGAAUUCUGAAGGCCACUAAAGCCCAAAGACCCUAAAUCCCAAACUCAGUCCACACCGAGGCCCAAGCGCUCGAAGCCCAAACUGGUAGCGUAUGCGGGGCGUACACGGAGAUACGUUGAGCGUACUGGCUACUGGCUGGUACGCGGCGUGUACCUCCUUGUACGUCCAGCAUACAACCCUGUUAAGCCAAAGUCUCAUUAAGUGCUUAAUAAUCCGGGUCAAAAGCUAAAAUCUUAGAUCCAGGUCUUAUCCUACGUCUGAAACCAUAAAGUUUCUUACUUGAUGGCUUACAAUACUCUCUUAAACUCAAACUUCUAAAAACAACCAUUUAUAACCAAGAAGGAGGCUAGAUCUCAUGCAUGGCUUCAUGAGAGCCUCAAAAAUCGAAACUUUAUUGCUAUGGGGGCACUUGAGCUUCAAGGAUAGCAAUCCCAAGCUCCGGAAACGAAGUUGCAUGAUAAAGGUCCUUCCUUUGGACCUAAAAAGUCCAACUUCCAAAAACUCUUAGAUCUAUGCUUACAAGAGGAAAGUUGGAAGCUUUAUACCUCUUUCGAAUGCCAAAUGAGUGAAUGAACCCAAAUCUAUGAGCUCAAGGUGCUCAAGUUCUCCUUCUUCCACUUCUCUUCUUCUUCUUCCCAACUUUUCUUCACAAAAAUGAGCUCAAAAGAUCAAACACAGACACAACAUGGAGAAAGGGACGAACUAGGGUAUUCUAAGAGUGAGGAGGCUGAUGGGAAAACAGGGAUGGAGGCUAUAAUGGGGUUUAUAUAGCCUUAAACCCCUAAAAUUAGGGUUUUUCCUCUGGCCGCGUACGUUGGGCGUACCAUAUGGUACACUGCACGUACGCUUUUCCUCCCCGCGUUUCAUUAAGUCACUACGCCCAACGUACAACGGGUUUACGCCUCGCGUACGGCUUAUAGGAAGACUAUGGCUUGGCCCAAAACAAGAGGCCCAAUCCUAUACACAAUUCUAUUAUAACCCCACAUAAAACUUGGGAAUCUAAAUAAAUUUAUACCUCGGAAGACGAUCGUUACACGUCGGCCACUACUAGGGUUGUUUUGUGUGUGUUUGUAUUAGUGUGUGUGUGUAUUAUUUUAGGUUUUUCUUUGUAAAGUGUAAUCGUGCUGGAAUAAUAAUAAAAGAAACUCAUAACCACCACUGUGAGGUGGUGGCCGCCGCCGUGAACCAUCGUCGACAACCACUACCCGAGGUGGUAGUGGGUGGUGCCCGCCUUAUGAAACCCUAAUGGGCCUUAUGGGACCCUAGUGGGCCUAAUGAAGCCCUAAUUGAUAUAAGGACUUAGUUUUGGGGCUAUUGGGCUAUGAUUGGGUUGGAAACCCUAAUUAGGGUUUAGAUAACCCUAAUUUUGGGAUUGCUGAUUUGGACUUAUCGGGACCCGCAUUUUGACUCAAGCCCAAUUUCAUUGUAUGUUUGGACUUAAUGGAUUAAGUCCUUAAUGGGUUAAGUUGGAACACUUAACCCUAAUCGUCAUUUUAUGUGAAAAAUCUUAAUUGGGUUUGGAUGCUUGUUGGCCAUUUAUUAGACUAAGUUGUUGUGGGCCUUUGCGGGCCAAUUGGGAACAUAUUUAUGGACUAAGGGAAAUUAUUGUGCUUAGGAUAAUACCCAUUAGAGAGGCUUGGGUCCAAUUUGGAAAAUUAGGCCAUAAGUAGGCCAUAUUUUGGCCUUGAGGAUUAUUAGCUAAUGGGCCAUCAAAAUGCCAAUUGUUUGGACUAGAAUAAUUGGUUAGGCCUUAAAAUAAGUCCAUGUAGAGGUUUGGGCCGAAUUUGGAAAAUUGGGCCAUAUGUUAGGCCUUGGUUGACUAUUGGGCUUUUGGGCCUUCAGGGUGUGAGUUUGGCCCUUGGUUUUGAACCAAGCUAGGUUAAGGGUAAAAUGGUCCAUUUACCCUAAGUGUGGAAUAUGGUUGUGUAUUGGAACCCAAUUAUUAAUUGGGUUUGGUUUUGAUGAUCGACAAUUCGGGAACCUGUCAACCAGCAGCUAGGGUUUAUCCACGGGACUUCAGCAGUGUAAGGUGAGUCUCCUCACCAUACUAAUGGGUCGAAGGCAAUAAGGCCGGCCCAUUUUAUGUUAUGUGGUACACUAGUUGUAGUAGAGAUAUGUGGUAUAGUAGUUAGCCUUAUGCUAAGUGGUAUGCUAGUGAUUAAAAGUUAUUGCAUGGAACAUCCCGGGGGAGCCCGUGGCAGUUCGAUAUAAGACCAUGUGGGGGAGCACAUGACAUUUCUAUGUAAAGACCAUGUGGGGUAGCCUAUGGCAUGAUGGUAUAAGACCCUGGGGGAGCCCACAGAAUCCUUAUAUGUUUAUGUAUUUGUUAGGUGGUAUGACAGAUACUUCUGUGGUAUAUGAUAUACUAGUUCAUUAUGUGGUUAUUACAUGGAAGACCCCGGGGGAGCCCAUAGCAGUUCGAUAUAAGACCAUGUUGGGGAGCCCAUGACAUUCCUAGGUAAAGACCAUAGGGGAGCCCAUGGAAUGACGGUAUAAAGACCCUGGGAGGAGCUCACGACAUCCUUAUAUGUUCAUAUGCAUGGCUUAUGUGAUUGAUAUGGGUUAUGUGUUGUUAUAGCUUAUACGGAUUAAGUGAUUAUGUGGAUUGUAUGGGUAUGCUCUGGGGAACUCACUAAGCUUCAUGCUUACAGUUUUGUUGAUGGUUUCAGGUAUCAUUGUUUGGAAAGGAAGGGCUCAGCUUGAUCACAGUGCACACAACCGUGUUUCCGCAAUAUAUGAUUUUGGGACGAACUCUGAUGAAUAUUUUUGAUUAAUCAUGUUAUUGGAAUGUUUGGAUUUAAAGACAUAUAUGUUUUGACAGUAUUGAAAAAUGAAAAUUUUACCCUUGAUUUUUGGGUCGUUACAAUUUAUUGGGCAUGCAUAACUCCAACUUUCUGGUUUGGGACACCUUUUUAGGUGUAGAUUUGAUUUGGGAUGUCUGGACGUGAUGUAUUAACAGUUUAAUGAAGACGUGCAUGGCCACAAUGCACGUAAUGCAAACCAAGGAGUACAUCAGGCGUAGGUGGUCAGCGGCACGCUUUCUGGUCAAGGCGGGUAUGUUGAACGUACAGCUGAGUACGCCCUGCGUACUCAACCUAUUGGGGUUUUGCUAGCUUGGGCUUCAAGUUGGGCCACCUUUUGGGCCUAACUGUCCAGGCCUUUAUUCGACAAUCUGAGUACUGAGCAUUUUCGGCUAAGUAAAGUAUUGAAGCUUAGAGAAAAGCCCCAAUAGGAGUUGGGCCUUAUUUGGGAAAUUGGGCCCAGUUUUGGCUUUGUGCGAUUAUUUAUUGUUGGGCCUUCUUAGACCAAGAAUUUUGGGCCCGGGUCAUAGCCUAAUUAGGGAUAGGGUAAAGUGGCCAUUUACCCUAAGUAUGAAUCCUUAGUAAAUUAUGGUAAUCUAGUUGUUAAUUAUAUGUUUGUUUGUUGUGACAGCUCAAGAUUUUUCGUGAGCCAGCAGUUAAAGGUUUUAGUGUGGUUUGACUUUGUGAGGAGAGUUUUCCUCACUAUACUUUUUAGUCGAAGGCACCAAGGCAAGCCCAUUGGUUUGACAACCUGAUAUUGUUGAUAUGAUGAGUAUGAUAUAGAUAUGAAUGCUAGUCUUGAUAUGCUAGUCUAGUAGAUCAAUAGGACUGCCUGUGAUAUUACAUGUUUAUCUGUAUAUGAUAUUAUAUGUUAUAUGUCGACAUAUUGUGUGGGUUGGGUUGAGGUAGUAGUGCAUUGUGUUGUAGCCAACAAACCCUAGAGUAUGCCAGAUAUGAGCUGGGCCAAGGAGGGCAUGUCAGACUCAUACGAUGGACUCAUGAGUAUUCCAAAUACGAGCUGAGAGCUGGGAAGGGCAUGCCAGACCCGUACUGAGCGAUUGGUGGCAUUCAGUCCAAUGACUGAUCAUGCCAGGGAGCAAGCCAGGCAUAAGCUGUGGGCCAAGGGCAAGCCAUAAUUAUGAUGUGGGAUCAGGGGUAAUCCAGGCUAUUAAAUCGUGGACACCGUACAUGUUGUUAUUAUAUUUGCUAUUUGUUAUGUAUCGGUAUAUUGGGGGAACUCAUCAAGCUUUGGGCUUAUAGUUUUGGAUUAUGUUUUAGGUACCUCAGAGGAUCGUGGGAAUGCGAAGACAUGAUUGUGCAAAUCCACAUGUUUUUGUCUUAUGAUCUUGGGAUUUAUCUGAUGUUGAAACAUAUUUUGAAAACAAUUCAUAAACAAUGAUGGUUUUGGGUUUAAUUAAAAAUUUAAAAUUUUCAUGAAUUUUAUGAAUGUUACACUUGUAGCCGAUAGAUGGGGGGAUUCGACAUAGGUGUGAGAUUGGCGAUCCUUUGUGUGUGAAGGUGUUAUGACUGAUUGUUGUCCAGGUUUCAAGGCGUGUUGUUGUAUUAGGAGCGUAAUAGAUAGGAAUGAGAAUUUGUAGUGGAUGGUAAGUUCUCGGCGGGAGAUACGAGGAAGCAUAUUGAUUCGCUCAGACUUCAUCAGGUACAUCAUAGUACUAGUAUGUGCAUGUGUGUAUGUGGUGGUGGUUGUGGGGGUUAUUUCUAAGUGGUUAGAUCUUUCUUUCCCAUCUAUGAUUAACGUUGCAGAGAUUUGUCAUGGGUUGACAGGAUGAAUAUAUUAAAGCCGAAAAAGAAAGUUGUGGAUCUGAUUAUAGUGACGAAAAUUUGGAUGAAUUGGCGAUUUCGAAAUGAUUAGGUAUUCCAAUCGAUGAACUUCUCAAAUAGAUUGAUUGAGGAGAAAGUUAUUGUUACUACUUAUGGGUGAUAUAAUAAUAGAAAUAAGAAAAAUGUAAAUACUUGGAAUGUUUGGCUUCAAAAUACCCUUUUUGAUCCCUAAUUAUUUUUCUAGCUCUUUGCUAGUCUUUGGAAUAAAAUCUUUAUUUGCUAAAAAAAACAACAUUCUUUAAUACUACUAAACUUUAAAUUGUAUUUAUAUCAAAGAUCACUUAUAAAUAAAAUUGUGUUUACAUGAACAAUUAUCUAUAAAUUUAAGGAUAGUUCUUUGUAUUAUGAGUUAUAUUCAUAAUAUUUGUAAAUACUAGGUAUUUUGUGUUUUUGUGCUCAUAAUGUUUGUAAAUUCUACAUAAUUUAUUUUAAAUGGUAUCUCAAAAUUUAUUUAUGCGGUAUUAUUAAAUAAAAUAGUUAGAUUCAUUUUUCUAUUGAGAAGAAAUUUGUAAAAUAAAUAUGGACCCAAAAACAACUAAUUAGAAUAAAACAUGUGUAGAGUCUCAAUGAAUGUUCAAAAUCAAGAGUGUGACUGGAUCAUUGAAAAAUGUUGCAAAUAAUUGUAUUUGUUGUGUUCAUAUCAUUUUUAUUCAAUUUAAAUUUCGUAUGAACAAUCUAUCAUGCACUUGUGAUUUUUUUAGACCAAUGCGUAUGUUACCGUAUUUUAAUCUAUUUUUGGUCACUCAUGUCAGCUUUAUAUAUAUUGUUUUAACAUGACCCAGGUCCGACUCGGACUAUACCCUUUGUGAAACUAAACAAGGGCUUAGGCCCCAAAUUCUAAAGGGCUCCAAUUUUAAAGUUCAUUUUAUUAACUAUAUAUGUAUAUAUACAUAUUUCUUUGGUUAUAAUGACGUGUUGGAACUUUGUCCAAUGGUAAAAGCAUUGUUUUAUCAAACUAAGUGUUUCAUGUUCCCAUCUGUUGGCUUACCUUUCAUUCAUUUUAUCUUGAAAACUACUUAAAGAUAUACCACAUCGUUCAUGGAUGAAACUCACCCAACUCUCCUCUUUUAUAUAAACUCGACAAUCCUCUUGCUUCAUAUGAACUCUACCUUUGAGUCUCACAUACGUUGGGAGAUCAAAACCUCAUCAAACUUAAUAUUUAUCUUAGUGAUUAGCUGAGACGCAUUAAGAAAUAGAUUGAGAUUUGGUUUAAGUUAUAAAAACGAUGGGCUAUAAUUUUUUUGUUUACUUAGAGACCCAAAUAAGUUAAGCCAGUGCCUACCCCCACAAAAUUGAUAUCAAAACAGCCACCUAAACACCUUUCACCCCUAUUUUUUUUAGUAUUAUAUAUGUACAAGUAAUAUAUCAACGUUACACUUUAUUUUGUAGGAUUUGAAAACCAUGAAUUUGAGUAGGAUAUUGAUUAUAAAGAAAUUUCACUUGUAUCACAAGAAACUUUCCCUCCUUCAUGUGUGUAUACGCAGAGAUAUUUUUUUUGCCAUUUCUAUUAAUGUUCUUUAUUUUGAUCCACCAGAAGACAGAUAAUGCACCAGUACGCUGUGAAUCUACAUGCCUUUAAUUGGCAAGUGCUGUGAAAAUGACAGGUAUAUAGAAAGGAGAGAGCCAGGGAGGUAUAUAAAAAAGGUGAUGACAUUACAAAGAUAACAGGAACACUAUUUUACUUGAAAAUGCAAGACAAAUCAUAGAGACAUAUACAGUCAUACAUGUCUUUCUCAAACAUAAUUAAUAGUGUUCUCCAUGAUUAUUGUAAUCUAGAUAUAUAUGAUUCUAAUCUUCCAAUUACAUCCAUAAACAUCACGGACUCACUGCACCCUGCAAAAACCACAUCAAUACAAUUAAACUUUAUUCCUGAAAGAUUUAAGCCAGUAGAUCGAUGAGUCUAUCAACUGGAAAUUGAAGAAAAUAAACAGAUAUUUGAACAUACUUGGAGCAAUCAGUGCUAGGACUGAUCUUGUAAGGGAUGUUGACACCACACAUGCCGGGGAGGGCAGCAGCGUUACCAGCAUUGAUGCCGGAAUUAGCUGAGUAAGCACUCUUUAAACAGCCACAAGCAGUCUGACGAUCAGGGGUUGAUUGUGCAGCGUUAUUGAGUGCGGUAACCCCACUGCAACAUCCCGAUGGCACAGCACCACCAUUUUUUAGGUAGCCAAGGCAUGGAGCUAAGUUGCUUACCACCUGACCACAUGUAAUAGCCUCUGCAUAGGGUGCAGCCACCACCAUGCAAGUGACUACUACACAAAAGACCAUCAUUGCCAUCCUUGCCAUUUUUCAAGUAUACGAGCACUAAAGCUGUAGGAAACUUAUAUGUUUGCUAGUUAUGUUAUUCAAAAUGUG